AAUAGGAGUAUUCCCUAAUCUUAACCAAAUUCAAAGAGUAAUAGAUUAAAAGAUUAUACUGCCGAAGUGUAAAAUCAUGUGUAGUAACAUAACUGACCUGAACAUGAAAUAAACUCAAUGAAUAAACAAGGGUACCAAUUUAAGUUUCAAAGCGAAGACUAAUAAAUUACUAGAUCAAAGCACAAAUGCUAUUAAGAACUGGUGAAUAGCGAGGACUAAUAAAUUACCUGUCUUAUUUAGUUUAUGCCUGCCUUUUUUGCAAAUCUGUGUAUCACGUUAUCUGUAAUACCAUUGACCUAUUGAGCUUUGAGAAAAGUAAUGUUUCUGGGGAAAUGACAGAUUUGGAAGUACAGGUAAAAUUAGUUGCAAAUGCUGUAGAAUACACAAUUCAACUGAGAUUAACAGAAACUGUAAUGGUAACAACUAAAAGCCAUAAAAAAAAAAGGCACAUUGGAGGUUGCGUCGCAGCCUGCAACAAGUAGCAGAGGACAUUGAUCGUGUCUGGAAAGAUUCAAGAUAAAGGUAAACAAGCAUCAACGGGAUCUUUGGUUAAAGAUUCUUCAAGUUCAGCAAAGAUGUUCUGAAUGUUAAGAACGAUAUGGUUGGACGUGAUGCACAAAGGGAAAGGUUGUUAGAAGAUCUAACUAGAGGCUAGUCUGGCGAACCCAAAGUCAUCUCGAUUGUCGGGAUGGGAGCCAUAGGUAAGAGCUAAGACAACCUUAGCAAAAUAAGUUAAUAAUGAUGCACACAUUCAUUCUCAUUUUGAUUUUCGUUCCUGGGCUAGUGUAUUUCAACAACACAAUGUAAAGGAAAUCUUGCUAAGCCUUCUACGUUCUACGAUCAAAAUGGAUGAAAUAUGAGGCGGAGCUAGCAGACAUGCUGCAGAAAUGUUUAAAGGGCAAGAGGUACUUAAUUCUCAUGGAUGACAUAAGAAUUAGUAAAGCGUGGGAUGACGUGAGACAAUGCUUCCUAGUCAAAACAACGGCAGUUGAAUAUUGUUGAAUACCCAUAAUAAUGAAGUGGCUUGUUAUGUUGGUACAAAGAAUCUUUCUUUAAAUGUGAAAAGGUGUGAUCUAUUUUCAUGGGAUGCAUCCAUUCUUUGAAAAGGUGUUGUUGUUCAUUUUUAACUCAUUAUAAAUGUUAUUCCUUC
Lycium ferocissimum is the source of this 1150-nucleotide long non-coding RNA. RefSeq lists it as uncharacterized. The transcript is spliced from 2 exons. Lineage: Eukaryota; Viridiplantae; Streptophyta; Magnoliopsida; Solanales; Solanaceae. The record is from RefSeq and is a predicted model, not a curated record.